UGGAAGUAAAAGUCGUAACAAGGUCUCCGUUGGUGAACCAGCGGAGGGAUCAUUACCGAGUUAUUCAACUCAUCAACCCUGUGAACAUACCUAAACGUUGCUUCGGCGGGAAUAGACGGCCCCGUGAAACGGGCCGCCCCCGCCAGAGGACCCUUAACUCUGUUUCUAUAAUGUUUCUUCUGAGUAAAACAAGCAAAUAAAUUAAAACUUUCAACAACGGAUCUCUUGGCUCUGGCAUCGAUGAAGAACGCAGCGAAAUGCGAUAAGUAAUGUGAAUUGCAGAAUUCAGUGAAUCAUCGAAUCUUUGAACGCACAUUGCGCCCGCCAGUAUUCUGGCGGGCAUGCCUGUUCGAGCGUCAUUACAACCCUCAGGCCCCCGGGCCUGGCGUUGGGGAUCGGCGGAGCCCCCCGUGGGCACACGCCGUCCCCCAAAUACAGUGGCGGUCCCGCCGCAGCUUCCAUCGCGUAGUAGCUAACACCUCGCGACUGGAGAGCGGCGCGGCCACGCCGUAAAACACCCAACUCUUCUGAAGUUGACCUCGAAU
Molecule: ribosomal RNA, 545 nt
Filed under: fungal sp. GZ-2010b
Lineage: Eukaryota; Fungi
Description: eukaryotic LSU rRNA
Rfam family: 5.8S ribosomal RNA (bases 206-359)
Source: RNAcentral